This 450-nucleotide ribosomal RNA is filed under the name uncultured bacterium. Its description in RNAcentral is "partial 16S ribosomal RNA". It matches the Rfam family "Bacterial small subunit ribosomal RNA", at positions 354 to 796 of the family's 1533-position model. The record is from RNAcentral.
GUGGGGAAUAUUGCACAAUGGGGGAAACCCUGAUGCAGCCAUGCCGCGUGUGUGAAGAAGGCCUUCGGGUUGUAAAGCACUUUCAGCGAGGAGGAAAGGAUGCUGGCUAAUAUCCAGCAUCUGUGACGUUACUCGCAGAAGAAGCACCGGCUAACUCCGUGCCAGCAGCCGCGGUAAUACGGAGGGUGCAAGCGUUAAUCGGAAUUACUGGGCGUAAAUCGCACGCAGGCGGUUGGAUAAGUUAGAUGUGAAAGCCCCGGGCUCAACAUGGGAAUUGCAUUUAAAACUGUCCAGCUAGAGUCUUGUAGAGGGGGGUAGAAUUCCAGGUGUAGCGGUGAAAUGCGUAGAGAUCUGGAGGAAUACCGGUGGCGAAGGCGGCCCCCUGGACAAAGACUGACGCUCAGGUGCGAAAGCGUGGGGAGCAAACAGGAUUAGAUACCCGGGUAGUCC